UCACUCUCUCUCUCACACACACACUCUCACUCCCUCUCUCUCUCUCACUCUCUCUGUCCAUUUUUAAAAAGUUUGUUCCUCUCACUUCUUGCCUCCCACCCUCCCAAUCAGUCUCAUUUACAAACAGAACUGGCUGCAGGACGGCCUCCUGUGUUUAUUAUUUGGCCUCUAUAAACAGAUGAUUUCAAACCAUCGGCCUCCUGGCGUACAGCUAAACACAAGCGCUGGCUAUCUGGCAGCGCGCUGCAUUUGACCUGAAGUUAUCUUGCUGUGUAAACUGUCUGAGGCGAGAGUCUGCCGCGACAAGGAAAGCAAUCGGUUUGGUUUCUAAAUGCAGAGUACCUAACAUUAGAACCUACCACUUAGAUUACAAAGAGGGUCCUACAAAAUCGAGAAAAUGUGCAGGGAAAAGAAAAACAGACGAUCAACAUCAACAGACGGGCUUGUGCUACUGAACUGGGCAGGAUUUGGAAGAAUUUCCUUCGUGGCAUUUUCGUUUGCUCAUGAUGCUAGUGUGAAUGUAUUUGACCUUUGGCAUGAGCAAAAUAAUAUCCUGGAAGCAGACUCCCUUUAACAAUAUAUGUCAAAAUAACUGAUUAAAUAAAUAGGAUAAGUACACAAGCGACAUGAAGAAUCGCUGACGCAGAACACUUGAGGUACAAAAGUAAAUAAAUACAAACUAAGCGCUGGAUAAAGCAAAUAAAGCCAUAAAGUUGUUGACCUUAUUUUUGGCUUUCGCCUUAUCUGUAUGUUUGGAGAUGACAGCAUACAUAUUUCAAUGACAUGGAAAUAAAUUUCACAAAUGGAUCUCAAUAAAUCCAGCAGCGGAGGCAUUUUUCGUAGCAUGGGAAGCUAACGCUGUGGUGGUUUGGACAGUUGUGAAUCACAGCGUGUUAGUUGCUCCGAGUGACUGCUCUGUUAGUGAUUUAAGACAGACGUGUUGACCCCUCAGCUGAGAAAAAAGGCUUCAGGAAGCUCAGACUUGUUAUUAAAAGAGGGGAGACUAUCCGUGACUCAGUAGCAGCACCGGGGGUUCCACAGGUGUGUGUGUGUGUGUGUGCGUGUGUGUGUGUCUGGUGCUAGGCAGUCAGAGCUCCAAUGAAAAAAAAAAAAAAGAAGAAGGAAAAAAAAAAGAAAAGAAUGACAGAAGAAAAAUGAGACGCUUGAAGAUCAAGGGGGUCUUUCGCAAACGUUCCAGAUGUUCCGAUCUGGAAGCCCAGAGGUUUUGGGAAAGAGACACAGCUGCCAAUGAGACAUCAGGACUGCUGGAGUGAUGGCCUCUGUCCCUCCAUCCAUCUCUCCGAUCUCUCCUCGAGAAUGAUGAUGAAUAUGGGAACCCCCACUUAUACAACCUGCACCGCUCUCGGACCUUCUCACAAUCUCCAUUCUCAUCUUACCCAAUUCACAUGAGAUCAGGAAAAACCUUAAAUCUUGCAGUUUCAACAGCGGAGCGUGUGUGCGUAUGACUGAGUGUGAGUGCAUGUGUGUGUGUGUGAUGACACACUCUGCAGGGCCUCUGGUCAGGCAAUGUGGUGGAUAAUAUGCUCCACACACACCUAACGGGGUUCCGAGUUUCUGUCGACUGCUCCACACCAAGGCUGAGCCACAUUACACAGCCAGCAUCCAUAAAAAAGACCCAGAUUUGUGUCCAUGGAAACACUCAAAUAUGUUUCGUUUCAGUUUAUCAGUUUUAUGCUCUAUGUCAGUUCCUGUCACCUCCACUGGAUAACAAGAGGAUUUCAGAAAUAUAAAUCAGAGGCUUGUAUUUUUAUCACAUUUAUAAGAGGAGAUGAAAACAAGAGAUAUAGCACUUAAUUACAUCAAUUAAUGACAAUUAGUGAUACAAACUAAAAAACAAAUGGGAAAUUCUGAUAUAUUCUUAGUAAUGGCAAAAUGGCAAAAAUAAAUAUAAUAAACAUGCUACUUGCAAAAUUGUAAGUGCAUGGUUGGCCAAGCAAAGAAUUUAAAGAACUAUUUCAUCUCUACUAAAGAUCCAGCCAAGAGCACAAAUGGCCUGUUCGUUUAGAUCCACUGAGAUAAAAUGAGCACCACAGAAUGGUCCAGAACUCUACUUCAGCACUGAGGUAACAGUCUAUGAGGUCAAUACCUGCUGACAUGUCAGGACAGUGAUGUAAUUUCCUCUAGUGGAACAAGAGAGGGAUAGGGAACAUGGUAAGCUGGGCCAAGGGCGGCAAUUUUAGACCCCUCAGCAGUACAAGAGCAGCAGAGACGUCUGUGUGUGGGUGUGUGUGCGUGUGUUUGUGCGUGUAUAUGUGUGUGUGUAAUGGUGGAGGAUAGGGGCAAAUAAAUGUCAGAUUGGAGAACAGUGUUUGUGUGUGUGUGUGUGUGUGUGUGUGUGUGAGAGUGUGAGUGUGUGUGUGUGUGUGUGUGUGUGUGAGAGAGAGAGAGAAAGAAAGAAAGGAAGAAAGAAAGAAAGAAAUGGCCAUGACAUUUCUUCCCAGAGCCCGUCUGUUAUGUUAGCAUCUCAGCAUGCAAAGAAAUGCACAUAUGAAGAAAGAGAGUCCGAUUGCUUCUCAGAUUUCAAAAUGACACAGCCUCCAACCCACCCACAGAAAGAUGCAUACAUGCACAUAUACUGGACACUGCAUACAUGCACAUAUACUGGAUACUGCAUACAUGCACAUAUACUGUACACUGCAUACAUGCACAUAUACUGUACACUGCACUACCACCAGUAACUCACUUCUGAGAGUGUGAAAAAAAAUGUGUUGAGUUACAGCAUUUUUCAGCACCAAAAUAUCUUGGUACCAAAGUAUCAAUGUUUGAGCUUAUUUCCUGAAGUGAGAGACAGAUAAACUGUUUAAAGGAAAAGGUCUAAAAAUAAAAGUGCAAACACACAAUGACACACUUUUAAUGUACUCAUAUUCUUUGUGAUUAUGCCAACACCCUCAAUGACAACAAAUAUCUCUUCUUUCUAUUCCAGUAGAAUUUGUAUUUUACUUAGACAUAUAAAAGGAUACUGGUAGUCUUAGGUCACUAGCCCCAAUUAUGACUGAAAAGUAAUGUUUAUAAUCACCUUCUUUUAUUUAUUAGAAGAUAUUUGUGUUGUUUGUCAUUUAUUACAAGAUAUUGGUGUCAUUUGUGAUUUAUUACAAGAUAUUUGUGUCAUUUGUAAUUUAUUAGAAGAUAUUUGUGUGGGUUUCCCUCUCUAUUUUUGGAUUCUGUGAAGCAUUUUAUUCACAUUGCAAAAAAGGUGUUACAUGAAAAAAAAGGUCAUUGCUUUUGUUUUCCAAUGAGAACCUUACGGUACCUCACAGGACUUUUGUUACAACCAAAUCAUGCAGUAAUAGAGAAGUAGAAGUUUCAGAGAUAUGUUAUUAAUUGCAAAAGAAAAUAUUAUGCCAGAAUUUUAAUUAAACUGACUAAUACAAAAAUAUGUGCCGGCGUAGGAAAGUGAUCUGAGGACAAAUUCCACAUCCAAUCCUUGUAUAUUUGCAAAUUGAACACAAGACUCACUCAGACUUUGAAAAACAUUUUCACAUUUUGUAAUAUUCUACAAUCACACACGAGUCUCGGAAGAAUUGGAUGGAUAGGUUGCUCAACACCCUCCCCCUAGCCAAUUAAAAGACAUGCAAACUCC
Molecule: long non-coding RNA, 3601 nt
Organism: Clupea harengus (Atlantic herring)
Lineage: Eukaryota; Metazoa; Chordata; Actinopteri; Clupeiformes; Clupeidae
Exons: 2
Source: RefSeq, a predicted model, not a curated record